GACGAACGCUGGCGGCGUGCUUAACACAUGCAAGUCGAACGGUGAUCCCAGGAGCUUGCUUCUGGGUGAGCAGUGGCGAACGGGUGAGUAACACGUGAGUAACCUGCCCCUGACUCUGGAAUAAGCGCUGGAAACGGCGUCUAAUACCGGAUACGAGACGCAACCGCAUGGUUAGUGUCUGGAAAGUUUUUCGGUCUGGGAUGGACGCGCGGCCUAUCAGUUUGUUGGUGAGGUAAUGGCUCACCAAGGCGAUGACGGGUAGCCGGCCUGAGAGGGCGAUCGGCCACACUGGGACUGAGACACGGCCCAGCCUCCUACGGGAGGCAGCAGUGGGGAAUAUUGCACAAUGGGCGAAAGCCUGAUGCAGCGACGCCGCGUGAGGGAUGACGGCCUUCGGGUUGUAAACCUCUUUCAGCAGGGAAGAAGCGCAAGUGACGGUACCUGCAGAAGAAGCACCGGCUAACUACGUGCCAGCCGCCGCCGUAA
This 486-nucleotide ribosomal RNA is filed under the name uncultured bacterium. Its description in RNAcentral is "partial 16S ribosomal RNA". It matches the Rfam family "Bacterial small subunit ribosomal RNA", at positions 28 to 523 of the family's 1533-position model. The record is from RNAcentral.